CAGCCGCCGCGGUAAUGCGUAGGUCCCGAGCGUUGUCCGGAUUUAUUGGGCGUAAAGCGAGCGCAGGCGGUUAGAUAAGUCUGAAGUUAAAGGCUGUGGCUUAACCAUAGUACGCUUUGGAAACUGUUUAACUUGAGUGCAAGAGGGGAGAGUGGAAUUCCAUGUGUAGCGGUGAAAUGCGUAGAUAUAUGGAGGAACACCGGUGGCGAAAGCGGCUCUCUGGCUUGUAACUGACGCUGAGGCUCGAAAGCGUGGGGAGCAAACAGGAUUAGAUACCCCUGUAGUCCCUGUCUCUUAUACC
This 301-nucleotide ribosomal RNA is filed under the name uncultured bacterium. RNAcentral's name for it is "partial 16S ribosomal RNA". It matches the Rfam family "Bacterial small subunit ribosomal RNA", at positions 509 to 808 of the family's 1533-position model. The record is from RNAcentral.